This 497-nucleotide ribosomal RNA is filed under the name uncultured bacterium. RNAcentral's name for it is "partial 16S ribosomal RNA". It matches the Rfam family "Bacterial small subunit ribosomal RNA", at positions 28 to 507 of the family's 1533-position model. The record is from RNAcentral.
GAUGAACGCUGGCGGCGUGCCUAAUACAUGCAAGUCGAGCGAACGGACGAGAAGCUUGCUUCUCUGAUGUUAGCGGCGGACGGGUGAGUAACACGUGGAUAACCUACCUAUAAGACUGGGAUAACUUCGGGAAACCGGAGCUAAUACCGGAUAAUAUUUUGAACCGCAUGGUUCAAAAGUGAAAGACGGUCUUGCUGUCACUUAUAGAUGGAUCCGCGCUGCAUUAGCUAGUUGGUAAGGUAACGGCUUACCAAGGCAACGAUGCGUAGCCGACCUGAGAGGGUGAUCGGCCACACUGGAACUGAGGCACGGUCCAGACUCCUACGGGAGGCAGCAGUAGGGAAUCUUCCGCAAUGGGCGAAAGCCUGACGGAGCAACGCCGCGUGAGUGAUGAAGGUCUUCGGAUCGUAAAACUCUGUUAUUAGGGAAGAACAUAUGUGUAAGUAACUGUGCACAUCUUGACGGUACCUAAUCAGAAAGCCACGGCUAACUACGUG